CAGCAGCCGCGGUAAUACGUAGGGUGCGAGCGUUAAUCGGAAUUACUGGGCGUAAAGCGUGCGUAGGCGGCUUGGUAAGUUAGAGGUGAAAGCCCGGAGCUCAACUCCGGAAUUGCCUUUAAGACUGCCGAGCUAGCAGGUGAGAGAGGUAAGUGGAAUUCCGAGUGUAGAGGUGAAAUUUGUAGAUAUUCGGAAGAACACCAGUGGCGAAGGCGGCUUACUGGCUCAUACUGGACGCUGAGGUGCGAAAGCGUGGGGAGCAAACAGGAUUAGAUACCCCUGUAGUCCCUGUCUCUUAUAC
Molecule: ribosomal RNA, 301 nt
Filed under: uncultured bacterium
Lineage: Bacteria
Description: partial 16S ribosomal RNA
Rfam family: Bacterial small subunit ribosomal RNA
Source: RNAcentral